UUUAUGGAGAGUUUGAUCCUGGCUCAGGAUGAACGCUGGCGGCGUGCCUAAUACAUGCAAGUCGAGCGAACGGAUGAGAAGCUUGCUUCUCUGAUGUUAGCGGCGGACGGGUGAGUAACACGUGGAUAACCUACCUAUAAGACUGGGACAACUUCGGGAAACCGGAGCUAAUACCGGAUAAUAUUUUGAACCGCAUGGUUCAAAAGUGAAAGACGGUCUUGCUGUCACUUAUAGAUGGAUCCGCGCUGCAUUAGCUAGUUGGUAAGGUAACGGCUUACCAAGGCAACGAUGCAUAGCCGACCUGAGAGGGUGAUCGGCCACACUGGAACUGAGACACGGUCCAGACUCCUACGGGAGGCAGCAGUAGGG
This 369-nucleotide ribosomal RNA is filed under the name Staphylococcus aureus. RNAcentral's name for it is "bacterial SSU rRNA". It matches the Rfam family "Bacterial small subunit ribosomal RNA", at positions 1 to 359 of the family's 1533-position model. Lineage: Bacteria; Bacillati; Bacillota; Bacilli; Caryophanales; Staphylococcaceae. The record is from RNAcentral.